GUCAAAAAGGCAUCUUGGUCCCUGUCAUCAUUACUGGUGUACGGAAAAAGCAAUUAUAUUCUCUUUCAAAUUCAGCAAGGGAAGAGCAGCUUUGCAAUGAAUCACAGAACUAUUUAUGUUUGCAGGGAGCACAGAGGGGAGUGGAGUGGCAAUAGAAAACACUUUCUGUGUUUUGCCUGCUUUCAGUGACCUAUAAAACGUUGGAAUUUUUUGCCUCUCCAUAGUUACCAGAAUAUCCAUUUUUCUUUUUUUUUUUUGUUUUGUUUUGUCCUCAAAGCCUGGCACCCACAGGAGGUGUUUUCUGAGCUCUUUGAGCAUUGGAUCAGUAAAUGGAGAAGAGCACAUGCUCUCUUUGUAAAAAUGUGCAGUCUCCUAUAGUUUUUCCUAUUCAGGAGCUGCUACCUUUCAAACGUAAUUCUUGCUAUUCAGGAGGUGAUGCUGAACAAAGCUGAGGUUGGAUACUGAUCUCUUAAAGGGAAUUCUUCCCUUUUCAGCACAAAGCUGGUUGUAUUCCAGCUCAGAAUGGCUACUGCUUCUGCUUUUUGAAAGAUGAAGAAGCACACACCAACAUAAAGGGACUGGAACUGCCACGUGUUAUUUGCCAUUUAUUGAGUCUUAAUGUGCACAUUCAUACAGGAGUUGUGAAUCUCUGUUUUCAGAGCAGUGAGGGUGUGGAAACACAUAAAUAAAAUGGCAUGGUGAGGUUCAGCUUCAGGAAACUUCUCCUGUUGUCUGGGUUGUUUUUAUUCUGUCCAACAUCUGCUCAGUAAAUUGUGCAGAGCAGAGAUUUGCUGUCAGGUUGCUCUCUUCUCUGGUGCUUGGUACAGCAGAGCCCUGGGACUGGCCACGUGUUUCCAAUAGACUCCUGCAACAGAUGAUAAAUGGCCUGAGUGUCAUGGUCCCUUCUACCAGUGUUGCUCCUACUGGAUCAGGCUAAAUUCCAUUAGGGCAAUGUGGAAAGCCAGAGAGGCUUUCUGGCAAGUUGCAGAGAAGGAAGAGCAGCCUGGGUACACUGGGAUCUUGUAAUCAGCUUUCCUGAAAGGAAGGAUGUGCUGAAUGGCAAACACAAGCUGUGGUUCAUCCUUCUCCUGACUGCCCAGAACUGCCACCUGCCCAAAGUGCCUUUGCUUUCCACCUGUGCAGCCAAGUUUUACUUGUGGUAAAAGCAGAGCAUCAAGGGCAAGAUGGAGAGGGAAAAGGGCUUGUCAUGCCUGAGCCUGAUCUUCACAGAGCCAGCACGUGUAGGGCUUCACACCCUGACCUGUGAACCAAGAAAAGUUCCAGGAGCUCCUGACUUAUCUGAGGUAAGUGUCCCAGACUGCUCACAAUGCAGGGUGUUUGGGAAAGGAAUACAGAAGCUUUCAGCAUUUAUUUAAGUGGAAAUUUUGACUGUUUGAGUCCAAGGCAGCCUCUAGUUUUAUAAAUUUAAAAAUCACCAGCCAAUUUGUCUCUGGCAUCCAGCCCGCAAGUUAACAACUUUAGUUCAUUGCAAUGAGUUGAAGCUCCACAAGCUUUUCAAGAGUUCACAAACACUGAAUUCUGAGCUCUGAGUCUUGUGGAUGUAGCAUUUCUUAGCAGUAUCUGAAGUAUGUUCUCCUAAACCGUAUUUGACAGGUGAAUGCAAGAGAGAAAAUGUGGUUCCAGUGUGUCUAUUGAAAGCAGAUGCAGCAAACUGAGUUCAGUGGCUCAGAAGGAGGUAGCUGCUGCAAAGCUUGACAUAGAAGAUAAAUUAUCAGGUGCUAUUUCUGGCCUCUGGCAGAAAGAAAGGUGGGUGAUAGAAGGCUGACUUGAAAACAACCACUUUAAAUGAUUUUGGAAUUGCAUGAGCUGGAGAUGUGCUGCAUUUCACUGAUGGAUGAGUUCAGAAGCUGACCUAAUUCCCCUUAUUAUUGUCAUAUGGGCUUUUCUUUACCUGUUUCACUUACAGAAGAAAUAUUUAAAGAGAAAUUAAAGUAAUUUCUGUCUGUGAAAGUAACACAUAUGCAACCCCUUUUAUUUAAACUAGUUAUUUAAGAUUUCUAAGUAUUUCAUUUGCUUUGUCUGAUCUCGUUAAUUCCUCUACAGUGAUUUAUUUAUUUAGGCUUUUGUGGAUUUUCUUUUCUUUUUUUGUUUUAUUUUUUUCACAUAGAUGUUAACGGCUUCCACAAAGCAGCAGAUAAAUCGUCACCUAUAAUGUGCUAAUUCUCAUUGUACCUCAUCAGAGAAUGCAUGAAGGAAAAGUCUAUUAAAGGUGGUUAGAUUCAGCUGAGACUUUUUCUGUAACAGUAGAGUAGCCUCUUCUCUGUUUUCAUCAAUUAUGCACUGCAGCAGUGAGUUUUGCAGCGAAAUUUCCAUGUGCUUUAAGCCACACUAAUGAAUGCACAUAUAGAGAAGUGAUAUUGUUUCCCCUCCCUUUUUUUUUUCUGUAAAUUAAGCUUAUUUUUUUUUCUAUUUCCUCCUGCCUUAUUUUCCACUCAUUGUGUUUUGUAGCACUUCCACAAUGAUUUUAUCCUGUGUGACAUUUUCAGCUGAUAUUUAUUAAAUAAAUUGCAGCAACUAAUUAAGUUAUUUAAAAGCUUAGUCCCUCUGUUCUAGACUUAAGUGUAUGUCAAACUGGUGAUGUUUGGAAUUAGGAAUGCUAUACUGGCUCUGCUGCCACUAUAAUUCUGUCAGCAAAAGUUGUCCUGGUAAAGAUUUAUGGCUUAGAAAUUGUUGUCUAACAGCAAAAGAGAAUGGUUUUGACCACAUGAAUAUAAAAGAGUAUUUUCUUUGAAUUCUGCUUUCACUUCAAGGAGACAUGGAUGAAGCCAAGUGGAUAGGUCUUUGAUUUAGGGAUAAAAUCUGUCCUGGUGAAUCAAUGUUGAAGCAAAGAAGGAGCAGCUUGCAAGAGAGUGUGGCAAGAGCAGAGAAACUGAUUGGCCUGAAGCAUAAUCUGUUAAUGCUGCUUAUUACCAUGGAAAAACAAAACAAAACAAAAAACUAGGAUGGGAUUAGAUAUUUUUUUGUAACAUCAGAAGAUGGCAAUUAAAAGGUACUUUAGUCCCAGGCUCCUUUAAAAGCCUCUUUCUUGUAUUCUUAUUUCCUGAUAAGUUCUACCAGUUCUACAAAUAGCUGAGAGAAGAAAAGGUGUGAAUUUAAAACAUGGCACAUAUAAAAAAACCUCCUAGGAAUGCUCCUGCCUUUUCUUAUCUUUUCUGCUGAUAUGCUUCCAGGAACUCCAUAUUUAUUUUUUCUUUCAUUCUGGCAUGAAGUCAGAAUUAGUCUUCAAUAAUGCUAAUUUAUGUUCUUGCUAGUUCAUUGCUUUCUUUUAUUACAUAGUGUUAUAUGUGUCAUUUGCAUCUAAAUUCCUUCAAUCUCUGGUGAAUUUGGGACAAAUCUACUAUUAAAAAUAAAAAAAGAAAAAAUGAAGCAUAAUUUUGAUGGGAAAAGGCUGCGGAUUGAUUAAUUCCCUUACUGUUGUAAUAGAGCAGCUGGUCAGGGAUCAGGACCUCACUGUGGUGGGGGCUGUGGAGGAGAAAGGAGAUGUCUGUCCUUCCCAGACCCCACCAUCGGACAAUUAAUGAAUGGAUACAGAAUUAAUGAAUGGCUACAGACAGGGAGGGAGGCAGAAGGACACAUGAGCCACUCUGAGUCAGAGGGCUGCAGCAAACCCACAGCCAAACACUUAAGGAUGUUACUGACGUAAUGCCACAGGAGAAUUACAAGGAUAAUGAGGAUAGUUUCACAGAUACAGGCUGCCUGGGAAAAAGCACAAAGGUGCCUAAGUGAGUGUUUUAACAAGUGGGAGAUAAGGGCUUUUAUCCUGAAAGGAUUAGAGGCCAGAGUUGGUUUCCUGACACUUAAUGAAAGACAAGAACUGGAUCAUAAAGAAUCUUGAAAGCGAAGCUUCUGUUUGAUGCAAUGGAGAAGAGGGUCCAGAAACCCAAGAGGGGUCUGAGAUGGUUUAGGUUUGAUGGAUAAGGGGGGUACAUAGCCACGUCUCUUGAUGGGAAGUGAAAAAAAAAUAGGCCACAGUAAGAGAGGAAAGAACCUGCUCAGGAGACCUGCAGCUCUGGGGGAUGGAGAGAGGGUGGAUGCCAAAAUGUCACCUGAAGCAGUUCUCAAGAAGGGGCAGGCCAGGGCAGCAGCCAGGCGGGGUGAUGGGACUGUGCCCAAGGAAGAGGAGGGGAGGAGAUAAGGUUGUGAGUCCAGAGGGAGAGUUAAAGAUGCCUUUGAGGUUUUUGAUAUGCUGAGGUUGUAUUGCUGCCAGAAAGGAAGGGAGGAGAGAAAGUUAAGCCAGGUACACCAACACAUGGGCGGGGGAGGAGAGGCUGAAGGGAAGAAAUAACUGAAGAAGUAGGAAGAAAAUUAGAGAGUACUGAGCAAAGAAGCCAGACAAGACAAGAUUGUGGGUGGUGGAUGAUGCCAGAGCUCUGGGCAGACUGAAGAGGAUGAGGCUGAAGCGCUGAUAGAGAAGUUUGAUUAAGAUAAGGCCACUUGCUGUGCUAGGAAGAGCAGUAAUCAUGAGGGCUAGAGGCUGGCAUUUGUGUGCCUUUGAUCCUUGAAUAGCAACACAUGAAAAUCCCCUGCAUUUUUUUAUUUCUGUGUUUAACUUUGCCUCUAAAACCUCUUGCAUUUGCGUAAUGCCUUUCACCAUAAAGUAUUUUGCAGAGUUGGUUUGGUCAGCAGAGAUUUUGGAGUGAACCAGAGCAUGUGUCAAUUCUGGAAAACGCAGAAUGGGAAGUGGGAAGCAGCAGCAGGUCCCACAGAAUACACGGGUGAGCCUUCCUUUGAGAGUAUAAAAUUGAAAACAGAGGAAAAAAACUCUUUAAAAAAUUAAAAAUUAAUAUUAAUUCUCUUUAAAGCCUUCCCCACCAUGACAACUUACAGGGAAAAAAGUUUUAAUGGACCAGUAUCUCUUCUCUUAUAGCCCUGAAAAUAAAACAGUCAGGUUUAAAACUGAAGGCAUGAUAAAUUCCUGUAUUAUCUUCCAGCAGGAGGAACUAUGGAUGCUAUUUUUCCAUUUCCUGAGAAAAU
This is a long non-coding RNA of Taeniopygia guttata (zebra finch), 4995 nucleotides long. The record is from Ensembl. NCBI's taxonomy places the organism in Eukaryota, Metazoa, Chordata, Aves, Passeriformes, Estrildidae.